CAGCCGCCGCAGGAAUACGUAGGGUGCAAGCGUUAAUCGGAAUUACUGGGCGUAAAGCGUGCGCAGGCGGUUAUAUAAGACAGAUGUGAAAUCCCCGGGCUCAACCUGGGAACUGCAUUUGUGACUGUAUAGCUAGAGUACGGCAGAGGGGGAUGGAAUUCCGCGUGUAGCAGUGAAAUGCGUAGAUAUGCGGAGGAACACCGAUGGCGAAGGCAAUCCCCUGGGCCUGUACUGACGCUCAUGCACGAAAGCGUGGGGAGCAAACAGGAUUAGAGACCCCUGUAGUCCCUGUCUCUUAUAC
Molecule: ribosomal RNA, 301 nt
Filed under: uncultured bacterium
Lineage: Bacteria
Description: partial 16S ribosomal RNA
Rfam family: Bacterial small subunit ribosomal RNA
Source: RNAcentral